UGAGGAAUAUUGGUCAAUGGGCGGGAGCCUGAACCAGCCAAGCCGCGUGAGGGAGGAAGGCCCUAUGGGUCGUAAACCUCUUUUGUCAGGGAACAAAAGCGAGUAUGUAUACUAGUCUGAGUGUACCUGAAGAAAAAGCAUCGGCUAACUCCGUGCCAGCAGCCGCGGUAAUGCGGAGGAUGCGAGCGUUAUCCGGAUUUAUUGGGUUUAAAGGGUGCGUAGGCGGCGGUGCAAGUCAGCGGUAAAAGCCCGGGGCUCAACCCCGGCGAGCCGUUGAAACUGCAGUGCUAGAGAAGGCGAGAGGUACGCGGAAUGCGCAGUGUAGCGGUGAAAUGCUUAGAUAUUGCGCAGAACUCCGAUUGCGAAGGCAGCGUACUGGCGCCUGACUGACGCUGAGGCACGAAAGCGUGGGGAUCGAACAGGAUUAGAUACCC
This 434-nucleotide ribosomal RNA is filed under the name uncultured bacterium. Its description in RNAcentral is "bacterial SSU rRNA". It matches the Rfam family "Bacterial small subunit ribosomal RNA", at positions 355 to 787 of the family's 1533-position model. The record is from RNAcentral.